CAGCCGCCGCGGUAAUACGGGGGGGGCAAGCGUUGUUCGGAAUUACUGGGCGUAAAGGGCGCGUAGGCGGUUCGCUAAGUCGGAUGUGAAAACUCUGGGCUCAACCCAGAGCCUGCAUCCGAAACUGGCGGGCUAGAGUUCUGGAGGGGGUAGCGGAAUUCCUGGUGUAGCGGUGAAAUGCGUAGAUAUCAGGAGGAACACCGGUGGCGAAGGCGGCUACCUGGACAGAAACUGACGCUGAGGCGCGAAAGCUAGGGGAGCAAACAGGAUUAGAUACCCUGGUAGUCCUAGCCCUAAACGAUGGAUACUUGGUGUGACGGGGAUUGAAUCCCGUCGUGCCGAAGCUAACGCAUUAAGUAUCCCGCCUGGGGAGUACGGUCGCAAGGCUGAAACUCAAAUGAAUUGACGG
Molecule: ribosomal RNA, 409 nt
Filed under: uncultured soil bacterium
Lineage: Bacteria
Description: bacterial SSU rRNA
Rfam family: Bacterial small subunit ribosomal RNA
Source: RNAcentral